This is a long non-coding RNA of Sphaeramia orbicularis (orbiculate cardinalfish), 166 nucleotides long. RefSeq lists it as uncharacterized. The record is from RefSeq and is a predicted model, not a curated record. The transcript is spliced from 3 exons. NCBI's taxonomy places the organism in Eukaryota, Metazoa, Chordata, Actinopteri, Kurtiformes, Apogonidae.
GAGAUAUGACGUUUACAUUUAAGCUUCAGGGUUAAUUAAGAUUAAAGUGUAUAUUGUGUUGUGAAGUAUGACCGUAAUGCACAGUAUGUUUUGUAAACAAAGGAAGCAGUCCUGCUGAGCAGGAAUAUGAUCAAUUCGGAGAAGGAUAUGACAUAUGUACGUGUUU